CAGAGGGUGCGAGCGUUGUUCGGAAUUACUGGGCGUAAAGCGCGCGCAGGCGGCCCUUUAAGUCUGCCGGUCAAACGCCGGGGCUCAACCCCGUGCUCGCCGGAGAUACUGGAGGGCUGGAGACAGGUAGAGGCGAGUGGAAUUCCGGGUGUAGCGGUGGAAUGCGUAGAGAUCCGGAAGAACACCGGAGGCGAAGGCGGCUCGCUGGGCCUGGUCUGACGCUGAGGCGCGAAAGCGUGGGGAGCAAACAGGAUUAGAUACCCUGGUAGUCCACGCCGUAAACGAUGGGCACUAGGCGCUGGGGGGAUCGACCCUCUCAGUGCCGUAGCUAACGCGUUAAGUGCCCCGCCUGGGGAGUACGGCCGCAAGGCUG
Molecule: ribosomal RNA, 373 nt
Filed under: uncultured organism
Description: bacterial SSU rRNA
Rfam family: Bacterial small subunit ribosomal RNA
Source: RNAcentral